GUGCUUGCUUCAGAAACACACAUACUAAAAUUGGAACGAUACAGAGAAGAUUAGCAUGGCCCCUGUGCAAGGAUGACAUGCAAAUUCAUGAAGCAUUCCAUAUUUUA
This 107-nucleotide small nuclear RNA is filed under the name Prolemur simus (greater bamboo lemur). Lineage: Eukaryota; Metazoa; Chordata; Mammalia; Primates; Lemuridae. The record is from RNAcentral.